UCACUGACCGUGAUAAUGUAGCGUAAUCAAUAGCCAAUUAAUUGUUGGCCGGUAUGAAUGGCAUCACGAAGGCCCCACUGUCUUAAGAGGACUCUCCAUGAAAUUGAAUUCGUAGUGAAGAUGCUACGUCCAUAUUGUAAGACGAAAAGACCCCAUUGAGCUUUACUAAAGACUUGUAUAGCUCGAAAUAACUUAAAUAAAAAGUUUAGAUAAUGUGGGAUCCGUUUUUGGUUAAUGAAACACCACUCUUUUAUUUUAAGAGAGCUAACCUUGUAGGGAGAAUGCAAGUUGGAUAGUUUGGUUGGGGCGACCACCUUUUAAAAGGUAACGAAGGUGAGCUUAAGGUCCGUAGUUAAUAGCUAGUGGCCUGACUGCAAGGGGGACAUCCCGAGCAGACACUGGUAAUCUCUCAGUGGGUUAUAGUGACCCGUCAUCUUAGAAUGGAAUAGUUGACGAUCAACGAAUAAAAGCUACCAUGGGGA
Molecule: ribosomal RNA, 482 nt
Rfam family: Bacterial large subunit ribosomal RNA